AUAUCAGAUAUUAAACUGAUAAGAACAGAUACUACACUUGAUCUUAGCCAAAAGGCCGAGAAAGGUAUGCUUUGAACCGCUGGCCACCCCUGCUGUUUAUAG
RNAcentral lists this ribosomal RNA (102 nucleotides) under Triticum aestivum (bread wheat). Its description in RNAcentral is "partial small subunit ribosomal RNA". The record is from RNAcentral. Lineage: Eukaryota; Viridiplantae; Streptophyta; Magnoliopsida; Poales; Poaceae.